AUUGAACGCUGGCGGCAUGCCUUACACAUGCAAGUCGAACGGCAGCACGGGUGCUUGCACCUGGUGGCGAGUGGCGAACGGGUGAGUAAUACAUCGGAACAUGUCCUGUAGUGGGGGAUAGCCCGGCGAAAGCCGGAUUAAUACCGCAUACGAUCUACGGAUGAAAGCGGGGGACCUUCGGGCCUCGCGCUAUAGGGUUGGCCGAUGGCUGAUUAGCUAGUUGGUGGGGUAAAGGCCUACCAAGGCGACGAUCAGUAGCUGGUCUGAGAGGACGACCAGCCACACUGGGACUGAGACACGGCCCAGAAGCCUACGGGAGGCAGCAGUGGGGAAUUUUGGACAAUGGGCGAAAGCCUGAUCCAGCAAUGCCGCGUGUGUGAAGAAGGCCUUCGGGUUGUAAAGCACUUUUGUCCGGAAAGAAAUCCUUGGCCCUAAUACGGUCGGGGGAUGACGGUACCGGAAGAAUAAGCACCGGCUAACUACGUG
Molecule: ribosomal RNA, 486 nt
Filed under: uncultured bacterium
Lineage: Bacteria
Description: partial 16S ribosomal RNA
Rfam family: Bacterial small subunit ribosomal RNA
Source: RNAcentral